RNAcentral lists this ribosomal RNA (438 nucleotides) under uncultured bacterium. Its description in RNAcentral is "bacterial SSU rRNA". It matches the Rfam family "Bacterial small subunit ribosomal RNA", at positions 954 to 1392 of the family's 1533-position model. The record is from RNAcentral.
AUGGGAACGCGAAGAACCUUACCUACUCUUGACAUCCAGAGAACUUUCCAAAGAUGGAUUGGUGCCUUCGGGAACUCUGAGACAGGUGCUGCAUGGCUGUCGUCAGCUCGUGUUGUGAAAUGUUGGGUUAAGUCCCGCAACGAGCGCAACCCUUAUCCUUGUUGCCAGCGGUUAGGCCGGGAACUCAAAGGAGACUGCCAGUGAUAAACUGGAGGAAGGUGGGGAUGACGUCAAGUCAUCAUGGCCCUUACGAGUAGGGCUACACACGUGCUACAAUGGCGCAUACAAAGAGAAGCGACCUCGCGAGAGCAAGCGGACCUCAUAAAGUGCGUCGUAGUCCGGAUUGGAGUCUGCAACUCGACUCCAUGAAGUCGGAAUCGCUAGUAAUCGUAGAUCAGAAUGCUACGGUGAAUACGUUCCCGGGUCUUGUACACACCG